RNAcentral lists this ribosomal RNA (372 nucleotides) under Escherichia coli. RNAcentral's name for it is "partial 23S ribosomal RNA". It matches the Rfam family "Bacterial large subunit ribosomal RNA", at positions 419 to 793 of the family's 2925-position model. Lineage: Bacteria; Pseudomonadati; Pseudomonadota; Gammaproteobacteria; Enterobacterales; Enterobacteriaceae. The record is from RNAcentral.
GGGACACGUGGUAUCCUGUCUGAAUAUGGGGGGACCAUCCUCCAAGGCUAAAUACUCCUGACUGACCGAUAGUGAACCAGUACCGUGAGGGAAAGGCGAAAAGAACCCCGGCGAGGGGAGUGAAAAAGAACCUGAAACCGUGUACGUACAAGCAGUGGGAGCACGCUUAGGCGUGUGACUGCGUACCUUUUGUAUAAUGGGUCAGCGACUUAUAUUCUGUAGCAAGGUUAACCGAAUAGGGGAGCCGAAGGGAAACCGAGUCUUAACUGGGCGUUAAGUUGCAGGGUAUAGACCCGAAACCCGGUGAUCUAGCCAUGGGCAGGUUGAAGGUUGGGUAACACUAACUGGAGGACCGAACCGACUAAUGUUGAA